This 3217-nucleotide long non-coding RNA is filed under the name Homo sapiens (human). Its description in RNAcentral is "HSALNT0320590". The record is from RNAcentral. Lineage: Eukaryota; Metazoa; Chordata; Mammalia; Primates; Hominidae.
CGCGAAUUAGGAGCGGGUGCAAUAUCUGGAGAAGCGACUGGGGAAGGAGAAAAGGAGAGGGGAAGGCGUCUUAUUCAAGUAUGAUUUCUCUCGGGUCCUGGCAUUGGCAUAAAAUGGCAUCUGCCUCUUAGUAAACAUGGCUAAAGCCCAGUCCAAAGGAAUUUCCGCUGGCCGAUUUAGGAAUCAACAGAAUAAGUGGCUGUGUGGUGGCUAGCAAGAGGGCAGAGGAAAACAGAACUUCUUCCUGGCUUUUCGGUCUUAUGAUUCCAAACAAAGUCACAACGUGAACACCAUUCUCGCUUACUUUCCCGAGCCUCUUCUGACGGACACUGCGGGCCCCUGCACCUGCAGCCCGUCAUCAUAGCUUCCUGUCUUUCUGAGAGCAUACCCAUCAUAACGCCCCUCUCUCCCGCAUCAUCUUCUCUCGAGGUGAGAAAUAUGUGCGAGUCAAUAUCAUGUUAAAAACAAAUAAGAAAACAAGCAAACACACCACAACCCCACCUACAGCUUCCCCCAAAGGUUUCCUUCCUACAGGUCCCCAAAAGGUUUCCCAGCAGGAUGGUGCAGUGGUGGCUAAAAACAAGGGUGUGUGGAAGAUCCCGGAGUCCGGAACAGAAUGUAAGAGUCGCUAGCUUUGUCUUCCUAAUUCUCUCUUGUCAUGGCUGUACAAUGGAGAUUAAACUAUGAGCAGCCUGGCGCAGUGGCUCAGGCCUGUAAUCCCAGCACUUUGGAAGGCCAAAGCGGGUGGAUCACGAAGUCAGGAGUUCGAGACCAGCCUUGCCAACAUGGUGAAACCUCAUCUCUACUAAAAAUACAAAAAUUAGCUGGGCGUGGUGGUGCGCACAUGUAAUCCCAGCUACUGGGAAGGCUGCGGCAAGAGAAUGGCUUGAAUCCAGGAGAUGGAGGUUGCAGUGAGCCGAGAUUGUGCCACUGCACUCCAGACUGGGUGACAGAGCAAACUUUGUCUCAAAACAAAAAACAAACAAACAAACAAAAAACAACUGUGAGCUAACAUUUUUCUCCACACUUAUGCUCUAGACAUGCCUUGUUAUUUAUAUUUCAAGUAUAUUACCAAAUAAUUUUCACAGCAAAACCCAUUUUACAGAUGAGGAAACUGAGGCAAAAGGAUACAUAGUAAGUGACAGAACUGAGAUCCAAAUUCAGGGAGUCUGAUUUCUGGCCUCAGGCCAGAUAACCACACUAUUAAUAGUGAAAUUAGCAUUUAAACUGAAGUUUCAGUGUGCAAUCCAUGUAAAUGUUUAGUGCAGUUCUUGACCAUAUGCAGUAAAAUCUUCAGUCAAUGUCUAUUGCAUUUAUCCCUCUUCCCCUCUGUAGGGCAAUGGAGUUGAUCGAAAAGAAGAUAGGCUCCUGGAGUCACACCAUGUCUCCAGAUCUGAGUUUCUUCUUUGAUGGUGAAUAACAACACAUUCCUUUUAGAGUUUUGUUUGGAUGACAUUAGAAAGCAGUGCUAAAGUGACUGGCGCACUCACUAGCCUUUAAUAGGGGCUCAAUCCCUUUCUAUCCUAAAUUUAUCCCAAAUCCAGACUACAUUCUCCCCACUCAGUCACUUCUUAACCCACUGCGGUUUGGAUUUUGCCCUUAGCCACCCCGGGAACUGUUCUGCAGAUAAUAACACAUAUUUCAAGAGUAGUUGUGAGGAUUAAAUGAGAUCAUGUGUUUGAUCUUUGCUUGGCAUAAAGAACAUAAUAGCUUUUGUGAUUAAUAAUGAAGAUCUAAUUGCAAAAUUCAAUAGGCCCUGGAAACUCUCUCUUUGAUUUUUUCCCUGUGAACUAUUGGUUGUUUUUCCAUUCCUUUCUGCCCUUUCUCAGUUCUGUCAGCUGCCUCCUCUUUCUAGGCCUGCCUCAAGCGUUCCUGACAUCUUUACUCUGCCCUUGGAAAAUGCCAAAUCCAGAAGAAAAUUCUUUUUCAGUUCUUCUGCUUUGGUGGUCACCUCUGGCCUUUAAAUAUAUAGUUCUGGGUCCCCCUCAGCUCCAGUCCUCCUUGCCAAAGAAGUUCAUCCUCUUCCCCUUUGAAACCAUCUUUGAGACUUCCCUCCCUUUAGCUACAGUGCAUAUUUCUGUCACAACAUUUGCCACUCUGUACUCCACAUGAUUCUUCAUUCAUAGAUACUGAAGACUGACAGCAUGUCUACAAUGGCUCCCUUCCCUUUGCUGCACCUCCAAUCUGUUAUUUAAGCCAUAAGCAUAAAAUAAGAGUGCCAUCUCACAGGGUUGUAGUAAAGAAUAAUUGGAUAGUCCAUUUCAAGAGAUUAGCAGAGUGCCUAGCACAUAGCAAAUGCUUAAAAAGAGUCGGCUGAGACCUAAGAGAAUCGCUUGUCUGUUUUUGUCUAAGGCAGAGAUCAAGGCAUACCCAUCUUUAUAUUUUAAUGACCAGCCAUGUCAUUCAGAAUAAUCAUAGUAACAGGGGAUGAUGAGCAAGUAGAAUAAUCCCUAACAGAGAUUCCCAGCUGUAAUUCCAGACUAGAACAGAAUAUGGAUAUGGGAGCCAGCAAACCAGAGAACACUAGUAGCAACCAAAUUUUGGACUUAUAAUAACUCAUUUGCAACUAACAUACAUCCAGGAAGAGGGAGCAAUGGAUGAAAUGGAUGAAGCCAGCAGCAGCAUGUCCAGCAAUGACAAAUAAAUGGCACCCCUCCCAGACUCUUGGAAUGACUUCUUGGGAAAUUGAAUUGAAAGCAAAUUAAAUGGGAAAAAAACAAUUCCCUCAUCAGCACACCUGGAGAUGCCAUCUUGUGAUAUUCAAGACAGUAGCACAGUGUUUCUUUUAUCAAAGGCUGCAGAAUCCCAGCUCUGGAUGGAUUAAAUUGUUUCAGAAUGCUGGCAUCUUGAGAUGCCUUCACUCAAAUGGUUUAAAUCAUAGGAUUCAUAUUUCUGGCUGAGCAUCUGGUUUCCUUGAUGUAUGGAGGAUUUGCAGCUUUUCAGGAGGAACUGAAUUGAACAUAUUGGUAGUAUACGUGCCUUGUAUUUGAUCUCUCUGUUGUGUUGCAUUAAUUAAGAGUUGUUUUAAUUUUUAAAUAAUAGGUCUUUCCUAUUUUAUGUUAGAGGUUGUGACUGUUAUAGCCAACUACUGAAUCAGAGGAUACUUAUCAAUCUUUUUUCCCAAACACAAGGAGAGUUAAAGGAAAGCAUUUCUAAAACAGAAAACAACAGCAGAUUAGUGGAUUAGUGGAUUCUGUUGCAUUAAACUCUACUUUUG